Molecule: non-coding RNA, 73 nt
Organism: Desmophyllum pertusum
Lineage: Eukaryota; Metazoa; Cnidaria; Anthozoa; Scleractinia; Caryophylliidae
Source: the annotation of a GenBank genome assembly
GAUGCAGUGGCCUAAUGGUUAGGGUGUUGGACUCUGGAUCGAGUGAUCCAGGCUUGAGCACUGGCUCGGGUCA